Molecule: ribosomal RNA, 24 nt
Filed under: Bipolaris heveae
Lineage: Eukaryota; Fungi; Ascomycota; Dothideomycetes; Pleosporales; Pleosporaceae
Description: partial 18S ribosomal RNA
Source: RNAcentral
GGGGGAAUGCGGAGGGAUCAUUAC